Molecule: ribosomal RNA, 496 nt
Filed under: uncultured bacterium
Lineage: Bacteria
Description: partial 16S ribosomal RNA
Rfam family: Bacterial small subunit ribosomal RNA
Source: RNAcentral
AUGCACGCUGGCGGCGUGCCUAAUACAUGCAAGUCGAGCGAACAGAUGAGGAGCUUGCUCCUCUGACGUUAGCGGCGGACGGGUGAGUAACACGUGGAUAACCUACCUAUAAAACUGGGAUAACCUCGGGAAACCGGAGCUAAUACCGGAUAAUAUAUUGAACCGCAUGGUUCAAUAGUGAAAGACGGUUUUGCUGUCACUUAUAGAUGGAUCCGCGCCGCAUUAGCUAGUUGGUAAGGUAACGGCUUACCAAGGCAACGAUGCGUAGCCGACCUGAGAGGGUGAUCGGCCACACUGGAACUGAGACACGGUCCAGACUCCUACGGGAGGCAGCAGUAGGGAAUCUUCCGCAAUGGGCGAAAGCCUGACGGAGCAACGCCGCGUGAGUGAUGAAGGUCUUCGGAUCGUAAAACUCUGUUAUUAGGGAAGAACAAAUGUGUAAGUAACUAUGCACGUCUUGACGGUACCUAAUCAGAAAGCCACGGCUAACUACGUG